This is a non-coding RNA of Camellia sinensis, 494 nucleotides long. The record is from RefSeq and is a predicted model, not a curated record. Lineage: Eukaryota; Viridiplantae; Streptophyta; Magnoliopsida; Ericales; Theaceae.
UGGUUAUCCGCUCAAAUCAAAAAGGCUGAGGCAUAUGCUGCAUUAAGAAAGCCUUUCCUUGUAAAUGAAUUGGGUCCACAACACCUUCUUCAUGAUAGAAGGAAGGUAUAUGAGUGUCUUGAAAUGCAUGGAAUUCCUGUUCCAAGAUAUGCCCUUGUAAAUAGAGAAGUGCCGUAUCAAGAGCUGGAUUAUGUUGUUGAGGAAGAAAAUUUUAUUGAGGUUCAUGGGAAUCGCUUUUGGAAGCCUUUUGUGGAGAAGCUUGUUAAUGGUAUGUUUGUUUCCUCAAUCAUUUGGACAUUGUGUUUUUGCUACUUCUGUUGUGAGUAUUUGGGCUAAAUAACGUGAUGUGAUGCAGUCCCUCUUGGAUGUGAUAUUUUAUUGGUUUGUCAACAAUAUCUGAUGUUUACUUAGUACAUAAACUUGGAUUGUAAGAAUAGUGGGAGGGAAGUGUCUUCCAGUACUGUUCUACAAUAUUAUUAGAACCAUAAUGGAGA